UGACGGUGCCUAUAUUCAGUUCA
Molecule: unclassified non-coding RNA, 23 nt
Filed under: Mus musculus (house mouse)
Lineage: Eukaryota; Metazoa; Chordata; Mammalia; Rodentia; Muridae
Description: oocyte_clustered_small_RNA1441
Source: RNAcentral